Molecule: microRNA, 23 nt
Filed under: Branchiostoma lanceolatum (amphioxus)
Lineage: Eukaryota; Metazoa; Chordata; Leptocardii; Amphioxiformes; Branchiostomatidae
Description: Bla-Mir-4872-P4_5p (mature (co-guide))
Source: RNAcentral
UGCUGAGGGUAUCGAGUUUAUGU